UGAGGGAUAUUGCACAAUGGGCGAAAGCCUGAUGCAGCAACGCCGCGUGAGGGAUGACGGUUUUCGGAUUGUAAACCUCUGUCUUCGGUGACGAAAAAAUGACGGUAACCGGGGAGGAAGCCACGGCUAACUACGUGCC
This 139-nucleotide ribosomal RNA is filed under the name uncultured bacterium. RNAcentral's name for it is "partial 16S ribosomal RNA". It matches the Rfam family "Bacterial small subunit ribosomal RNA", at positions 355 to 509 of the family's 1533-position model. The record is from RNAcentral.